GCCCCGGUAGCUCAGUGGAUAGAGCAACCCCCUCCUAAGGGGUAGGCCGGACGUUCGAUUCGUCUCCGGGGCGCCA
This 76-nucleotide transfer RNA is filed under the name Betaproteobacteria bacterium RIFCSPLOWO2_02_FULL_65_24. Its description in RNAcentral is "tRNA-Arg". It matches the Rfam family "tRNA". From Rfam's summary of the family: Transfer RNA (tRNA) molecules are approximately 80 nucleotides in length. Their secondary structure includes four short double-helical elements and three loops (D, anti-codon, and T loops). Further hydrogen bonds mediate the characteristic L-shaped molecular structure. tRNAs have two regions of fundamental functional importance: the anti-codon, which is responsible for specific mRNA codon recognition, and the 3' end, to which the tRNAs corresponding amino acid is attached (by aminoacyl-tRNA synthetases). tRNAs cope with the degeneracy of the genetic code in two manners: having more than one tRNA (with a specific anti-codon) for a particular amino acid; and 'wobble' base-pairing, i.e. permitting non-standard base-pairing at the 3rd anti-codon position. Lineage: Bacteria; Pseudomonadati; Pseudomonadota; Betaproteobacteria. The record is from RNAcentral. RNAcentral also lists the same sequence under 1 other name.